This 1372-nucleotide ribosomal RNA is filed under the name uncultured bacterium. RNAcentral describes it as "bacterial SSU rRNA". It matches the Rfam family "Bacterial small subunit ribosomal RNA", at positions 28 to 1381 of the family's 1533-position model. The record is from RNAcentral.
GAUGAACGCUGGCGGCGUGCCUAAUACAUGCAAGUCGAGCGAACGGACGAGAAGCUUGCUUCUCUGAUGUUAGCGGCGGACGGGUGAGUAACACGUGGAUAACCUACCUAUAAGACUGGGAUAACUCCGGGAAACCGGAGCUAAUACCGGAUAAUAUUUUGAACCGCAUGGUUCAAAAGUGAAAGACGGUCUUGCUGUCACUUAUAGAUGGAUCCGCGCUGCAUUAGCUAGUUGGUAAGGUAACGGCUUACCAAGGCAACGAUGCAUAGCCGACCUGAGAGGGUGAUCGGCCACACUGGAACUGAGACACGGUCCAGACUCCUACGGGAGGCAGCAGUAGGGAAUCUUCCGCAAUGGGCGAAAGCCUGACGGAGCAACGCCGCGUGAGUGAUGAAGGUCUUCGGAUCGUAAAACUCUGUUAUUAGGGAAGAACAUAUGUGUAAGUAACUGUGCACAUCUUGACGGUACCUAAUCAGAAAGCCACGGCUAACUACGUGCCAGCAGCCGCGGUAAUACGUAGGUGGCAAGCGUUAUCCGGAAUUAUUGGGCGUAAAGCGCGCGUAGGCGGUUUUUUAAGUCUGAUGUGAAAGCCCACGGCUCAACCGUGGAGGGUCAUUGGAAACUGGAAAACUUGAGUGCAGAAGAGGAAAGUGGAAUUCCAUGUGUAGCGGUGAAAUGCGCAGAGAUAUGGAGGAACACCAGUGGCGAAGGCGACUUUCUGGUCUGUAACUGACGCUGAUGUGCGAAAGCGUGGGGAUCAAACAGGAUUAGAUACCCUGGUAGUCCACGCCGUAAACGAUGAGUGCUAAGUGUUAGGGGGUUUCCGCCCCUUAGUGCUGCAGCUAACGCAUUAAGCACUCCGCCUGGGGAGUACGACCGCAAGGUUGAAACUCAAAGGAAUUGACGGGGACCCGCACAAGCGGUGGAGCAUGUGGUUUAAUUCGAAGCAACGCGAAGAACCUUACCAAAUCUUGACAUCCUUUGACAACUCUAGAGAUAGAGCCUUCCCCUUCGGGGGACAAAGUGACAGGUGGUGCAUGGUUGUCGUCAGCUCGUGUCGUGAGAUGUUGGGUUAAGUCCCGCAACGAGCGCAACCCUUAAGCUUAGUUGCCAUCAUUAAGUUGGGCACUCUAAGUUGACUGCCGGUGACAAACCGGAGGAAGGUGGGGAUGACGUCAAAUCAUCAUGCCCCUUAUGAUUUGGGCUACACACGUGCUACAAUGGACAAUACAAAGGGCAGCGAAACCGCGAGGUCAAGCAAAUCCCAUAAAGUUGUUCUCAGUUCGGAUUGUAGUCUGCAACUCGACUACAUGAAGCUGGAAUCGCUAGUAAUCGUAGAUCAGCAUGCUACGGUGAAUACGUUCCCGGGUCU